CCUUAACCAAUUUAAUAUGUUUGAUCCUUGGCUCAGGAUGAACGCUCGCCUAAUAAGCUUAACACAUGCAAGUCGAGCGAGAAACUCAAAAGUGCUUUUUCGGUCGAACAUUUGAGCGGAAAGCGGCGGACGGGUGAGUAACGCGUAGGCAACCUGCCCUUUGCAGAGGUAUAGCAUCGGGAAACUGAUAUUAAAACCUCAUAAAACCGGAAGUGCACAUGCACAUUUGGUCAAAGAUUUAUCGGCAAAGGAUGGGCCUGCGUCUGAUUAGUCAGUUGGUGGGGUAACGGCUCACCAAGGCAGUGAUCAGUAGCCGACCUGAGAGGGUGAUCGGCCACAUUGGAACUGAGACACGGUCCAGACUCCUGCGGGAGGCAGCAGUGGGGAAUAUUGCACAAUGGGGGAAACCCUGAUGCAGCAACGCCGCGUGAAGGAAGAAGGCCUUUGGGUCGUAUACUUCUGUCCUUGGGGAAGAAAAAAAUGACGGUACCCUUGGAGGAAGCCCCGGCUAACUACGUGCCAGCAGCCGCGGUAAUACGUAGGGGGCGAGCGUUAUCCGGAAUUAUUGGGCGUAAAGGGUGCGUAGGUGGUUUUUUAAGCGCAGGGUCUAAUGCACAGGCUUAACUUGUGUCCGCCUUGCGAACUGAAGGACUUGAGUGCAGGAGAGGAAA
This 671-nucleotide ribosomal RNA is filed under the name uncultured bacterium. RNAcentral describes it as "bacterial SSU rRNA". It matches the Rfam family "Bacterial small subunit ribosomal RNA", at positions 1 to 660 of the family's 1533-position model. The record is from RNAcentral.